Molecule: transfer RNA, 129 nt
Filed under: Pseudomonas sp. GXZC
Lineage: Bacteria; Pseudomonadati; Pseudomonadota; Gammaproteobacteria; Pseudomonadales; Pseudomonadaceae
Description: tRNA-Ser
Source: RNAcentral
AGGGCGUAUUUCUUAUUUUAGCGGCCGCUAAAUAGCUAUAUUUUCCUUUAUAUAUCAAUAGCCUGCGCGCCUUUCGUGGCCACCUUGACAUGGUGGGGGUCGUUGGUUCGAGUCCAAUCGCGCCUACCA